UCAAGGACCACUAACCAUACAUUGUGACAACAAAGCAGCCUUAUUCUUUCAAGAAACAACAAGAAAUUUGAGGCCACUCGAUUGAUGGAUGUCAAAUAUCUAUCAGUGAAGGAACAUUUGAAGAAGGGAAAUCAAAAUUGAGCAUGUUGAUACAAGACUGAUGCUUGCAGACCCCUUGACUAAGCCACAUGCUGUGGGAAUUUUCAAAGAUCAUGUUUCGAAUAUAGGAAAGCAAGAUGGGUUUUUCUCAGCAGAAGUGUGGGAGUAAAAGUGUAGAGUACUGACGGAUUGCUUUUCAGUUCAGGGUUCUAUCACCAUAAAAAUAUUAAGGGCUUGAGUGAGUAGAAGAAUUGACGUGAACUUGAGACAAUGUCUUCUUCAGGUGUUUACAUGAAAGGAAGCUGACAAAGCUAAUGUGGUCCAGGAACAAUAACUCAAUUGCAUCAAUGUUGCUUGACAAUGGCCUUGAAACUCAACCACCGCCAUUCAAGCUAAUGGAAUAUGACCACAUAUAUCUUUUAAGGGUUCCAAAUAAUGUCGAAGGGGUAGUGGAUGAACGCCAUCUUACAACCCGUAGAGCACAGGGUCCUAGGGAAAUAAAUAGGCCAUGGUGGGCACUCAAUGGUACAAAGGAGCUGAUGAAAUUUAAUGACAAAGGGCAAGCAAUAGAGCCUCCCCAUAUUGUUGCAAGAUUUUCCAGGUUCCUAGGAAUGCUAUCCCAAGAAUCAUCAUAUUGUCCAAUUAACAUUUGUAAAUAAAUAUGGACCGUGUAAACAAAACUAAAAUGGGAUAUGCAUCUGUUUCCUUGUAUUUGAAAUUCAAAUAUCUCUGAUAGCACAAGUAUUGUAUCAUUGUAACAUCCCAUCUAAACGGUCCAUAACAAUCUAGUCAAACGGAUACCUAGGGAUCAAAGAAAAACAAAUCGAUAUCGAACUGUCAUGAGUUUUUGAACAUAAGACCUUUCACUCAUUAAUAGAGCACUCCAUAGAGUUUGUUUUCCUAGAAUUCAUACAUUUUGGUUUUGCUACUAAGGUGUUUUGUGUGAAAGAGAAAUCGGAACUUGUGGUUUGCAUAAGGUAGACCAGCAAAAUGAGUUAGUAGAGACCCUCGUAUUCAAUUUGAGAGGUCGGGAUUGCCUCCUCCUUGGGCUCCGAACAAUGGAAUCCUGAAUGAAUUUCUGUCCCAAAAAAUGGGGGAUCCCAUUUCUUAAGGGAUCUAUACAAAUAUGAUCGACAAAUUUCAUUGUUCCAACUAACCCAAACGUAUGAAUUAAUCAUGCCGGGAUAAUGAAACCGAAAACAGGACGAAAGGCCUCUGUAUUCUUCAGUUUUCCACAAGGGAGAGGGAGCAAGGUUCACAAGAAUGUACCUGGUAAACAUUACUGCUCAUGGAAAAAAUAGACAAUAGUCUUACGAUAUUUGUUGAGCUAAACCGUAAUCUCAUCAGCCACAUACCACCUUCGAAGCUUUUCUUCACAC
Long non-coding RNA from Pyrus x bretschneideri (Chinese white pear), 1478 nucleotides. RefSeq lists it as uncharacterized. The record is from RefSeq and is a predicted model, not a curated record. The transcript is spliced from 3 exons. NCBI's taxonomy places the organism in Eukaryota, Viridiplantae, Streptophyta, Magnoliopsida, Rosales, Rosaceae.